Molecule: ribosomal RNA, 535 nt
Filed under: marine sediment bacterium ISA-3135
Lineage: Bacteria
Description: bacterial SSU rRNA
Rfam family: Bacterial small subunit ribosomal RNA
Source: RNAcentral
GAGUUUGAUUCCCUGCUCAGGACGAACGCUGGCGGCGUGCCUAAUACAUGCAAGUCGAGCGGACAGAAGGGAGCUUGCUCCCGGAUGUUAGCGGCGGACGGGUGAGUAACACGUGGGUAACCUGCCUGUAAGACUGGGAUAACUCCGGGAAACCGGAGCUAAUACCGGAUAGUUCCUUGAACCGCAUGGUUCAAGGAUGAAAGACGGUUUCGGCUGUCACUUACAGAUGGACCCGCGGCGCAUUAGCUAGUUGGUGAGGUAACGGCUCACCAAGGCGACGAUGCGUAGCCGACCUGAGAGGGUGAUCGGCCACACUGGGACUGAGACACGGCCCAGACUCCUACGGGAGGCAGCAGUAGGGAAUCUUCCGCAAUGGACGAAAGUCUGACGGAGCAACGCCGCGUGAGUGAUGAAGGUUUUCGGAUCGUAAAGCUCUGUUGUUAGGGAAGAACAAGUGCAAGAGUAACUGCUUGCACCUUGACGGUACCUAACCAGAAAGCCACGGCUAACUACGUGCCAGCAGCCGCGGUAAUAC